UUAAUUAAAUUAGUAUUUGACUUUUUAGAAUUAAUUUACUCUUUAAAAUUUUAUUUCUAAUGGCAUACCUAUGUAAUUACUUACAAAAAAUAAAGUUAUAUUUAAAAUGUACUUCCCAAAUAAUAUAAUAGGAUAAACCUCACUCACUCACAUUUGUAUAA
RNAcentral lists this small RNA (161 nucleotides) under Arabidopsis thaliana (thale cress). Its description in RNAcentral is "ATSL189800". The record is from RNAcentral. Lineage: Eukaryota; Viridiplantae; Streptophyta; Magnoliopsida; Brassicales; Brassicaceae.